AUACGUAGGUGACAAGCGUUAUCCGGAUUUACUGGGCGUAAAGGGCGUGUAGGCGGUCUUGCAAGUCAGAAGUGAAAUUCCUGAGCUCAACUCGGGCGCUGCUUCUGAAACUGCAGGACUUGAGUGCUGGAGGGGAUAGCGGAAUUCCUAGUGGAGCGGUAAAAUGCGCAGAUAUUAGGAAGAACACCGGUGGCGAAGGCGGCUAUCUGGACAGUAACGGACGCUGAGGCGCGAAAGCGUGGGGAGCAAACAGGAUUAGAUGCCCUGGUAGUCCACGCUAUAAACGAUGAGUGCUAGGUGUCGGGGGUCAAACCUCGGUGCCGCAGUUAACACAUUAAGCACUCCGCCUGGGGAGUACGGCCGCAAGGCUGAAACUCAAAGGAAUUGACGGGG
RNAcentral lists this ribosomal RNA (393 nucleotides) under uncultured bacterium. Its description in RNAcentral is "partial 16S ribosomal RNA". It matches the Rfam family "Bacterial small subunit ribosomal RNA", at positions 523 to 918 of the family's 1533-position model. The record is from RNAcentral.